GACAGAGGGUGCAACCGUUGCUCGGAAUUACUGGGCGUAAAGCGCGUGUAGGUGGCCACGCAAGUCAGGUGUGAAAGCCCAGGGCUCAACCCUGGAAGUGCACAUGAUACUACGUGGCUGGAGUACUGAAGAGGAGAGCGGAAUUCCCGGUGUAGAGGUGAAAUUCGUAGAUAUCGGGAGGAACACCAGUGGCGAAGGCGGCUCUCUGGGCAGAUACUGACACUGAGACGCGAAAGCGUGGGUAGCAAACAGG
Molecule: ribosomal RNA, 253 nt
Filed under: uncultured bacterium
Lineage: Bacteria
Description: partial 16S ribosomal RNA
Rfam family: Bacterial small subunit ribosomal RNA
Source: RNAcentral